CUGGCUUUGGGGUGAAGAAUAACUAAGGACCCUACAAUAUAUAACAGCCACUGAAAGCUCUGAUCCCCAUGCAACAGGUAGGGUCUACCAAAAAUCCCAUAAACUGGCUCUGGAUGGUCUUGUUUUAACAUCAUCCAAAUUCCCCAUCCAUGACACUUAAUCCAAUUAUCAACUCUCUUUAAUUAUUUCAGGCCAGUGCCAUAUUCUUCAUUCUAGAACACAAUGAAAUAUACUAAUUGCUAUCUAUUAAACAACCAGUAAACUUUUGCCAGACUGUAACACACAAAUCAUUCCAACCCUAUAUCCAAGACAGAACCAUGUGGAUCCAUUCACUAUGAAUAAAGGGGUAGCACGUUCUGCCAAUCUAAC
Non-coding RNA from Pelobates cultripes (western spadefoot toad), 369 nucleotides. NCBI's taxonomy places the organism in Eukaryota, Metazoa, Chordata, Amphibia, Anura, Pelobatidae. The record is from the annotation of a GenBank genome assembly.